UGGAGGUCUUGGUUAGUGUCUGACAGCGCUUGUAGCACUUGCGCUAACACGUGACAGCGCUACAGAACUAAACGCAGUUCAGUCAGGACAGAAAAUGUCUAGGCCAGGUGUCAUUGCACGAAAGCUGUUAGCCUCACUACUGUUGACAAUGAAUGAAUCCAUUAAGCAUGUAACCUGCUGGAGACAGGGAAGCACACUCCAUGGGGGGAGGACAGCACGCGCCAUUCCCCUCCUGUGCUUGUGUGAAAGCUGACGAAGAGAAGGUGCACUGCCAGGGAGGCAAUGGAAUGCUAUUUUGGUGCCAUUUGAAACACAGAUCUGACAUUAUUAACAUUAUUGAGUGUUAAUUUUAGUGUCA
Long non-coding RNA from Alosa sapidissima (American shad), 358 nucleotides. RefSeq lists it as uncharacterized. NCBI's taxonomy places the organism in Eukaryota, Metazoa, Chordata, Actinopteri, Clupeiformes, Clupeidae. The transcript has 3 exons. The record is from RefSeq and is a predicted model, not a curated record.